UCAGUUCGGAUCGGAGUCUGCAACCCGACUCCGUGAAGCUGGAUUCGCUAGUAAUCGCGCAUCAGCCAUGGCGCGGUGAAUACGUUCCCGGGCCUUGUACACACCGCCCCGUCAAGCCAUGGGAGCCGGGGGUGCUUGAAGUGCGUCGCCGCAAGGCGCGCCCUAGAGCAAAACCGGUGACUGGGGCUAAGUCGUAACAAGGUACC
This 206-nucleotide ribosomal RNA is filed under the name uncultured bacterium. RNAcentral describes it as "partial 16S ribosomal RNA". It matches the Rfam family "Bacterial small subunit ribosomal RNA", at positions 1288 to 1500 of the family's 1533-position model. The record is from RNAcentral.